GUGCCAGCCGCCGCGGUAAUACCGGCAGCACGAGUGAUGGCCGCUAUUAUUGGGCCUAAAGCGUCCGUAGCCGGCCGGGCAAGUCCGUCGGGAAAUCCACCCGCUUAACGGGUGGGCGUCCGGCGGAAACUGCUCGGCUUGGGACCAGAGGACCCGAGGGGUACGUCCGGGGUAGGAGUGAAAUCCCGUAAUCCCGGACGGACCGCCGGUGGCGAAAGCGCCUCGGGAGGACGGAUCCGACGGUGAGGGACGAAAGCUAAGAUCGCGAACCGGAUUAGAUACCCUUGUAGUCC
RNAcentral lists this ribosomal RNA (293 nucleotides) under uncultured bacterium. RNAcentral describes it as "partial 16S ribosomal RNA". It matches the Rfam family "Archaeal small subunit ribosomal RNA", at positions 455 to 747 of the family's 1478-position model. The record is from RNAcentral.